GGCCAGCAGCCGCGGUAAUACAGAGGGGGCAAGCGUUAUUCGGAAUUAUUGGGCGUAAAGGGCGCGUAGGCGGCCGUUCAAGUGGCGGGUGAAAUCCCUCGGCUUAACCGAGGAACUGCCUGCCAGACUGGAUGGCUUGAGACCGGGAGAGGUGAGUGGAAUUCCCAGUGUAGCGGUGAAAUGCGUAGAUAUUGGGAGGAACACCAGUGGCGAAGGCGGCUCACUGGACCGGAACUGACGCUGAGGCGCGAAAGCGUGGGGAGCAAACAGGAUUAGAUACCCUGGUAGUCCACGCCGUAAACGAUGAGUGCUUGGUGUAGCGGGUAUCGACCCCUGCUGUGCCGAAGUCAACACAUUAAGCACUCCGCCUGGGGAGUACGGUCGCAAGACUGAAACUCAAAGGAAUUGACGGGGGCCCGCACA
RNAcentral lists this ribosomal RNA (423 nucleotides) under uncultured bacterium. RNAcentral describes it as "bacterial SSU rRNA". It matches the Rfam family "Bacterial small subunit ribosomal RNA", at positions 506 to 927 of the family's 1533-position model. The record is from RNAcentral.